This 459-nucleotide ribosomal RNA is filed under the name uncultured bacterium. RNAcentral's name for it is "bacterial SSU rRNA". It matches the Rfam family "Bacterial small subunit ribosomal RNA", at positions 340 to 786 of the family's 1533-position model. The record is from RNAcentral.
UACGGAAGGCAGCAGUGGGGAAUAUUGCACAAUGGGCGAAAGCCUGAUGCAGCUAUGCCGCGUGUAUGAAGAAGGCCUUAGGGUUGUAAAGUACUUUCAUCGGGGAGGAAAAAAACAAAACUAAUAAUUUUAUUUCUUGACGUUACCCGAAAAAGAAGCACCGGCUAACUCCGUGCCAGCAGCCGCGGUAAUACGGAGGGUGCUAGCGUUAAUCAGAAUUACUGGGCGUAAAGAGCACGUAGGUGGUUUUUUUAAAGUCAGAUGUGAAAUCCCUGGGCUUUAACCUAGGAACUGCAUUUUGAAACUGAAAUACUAGAGUAUCGUAGAGGGAGGUAGAAUUCUAGGUGUAGCGGUGAAAUGCGUAGAUAUCUGGAGGAAUACCUGUGGCGAAAGCGGCCCCUGGGACAAAGACUGACGCUCAUGUGCGAAAGCGUGGGGAGCAAACAGGGAUUAGAUACC